RNAcentral lists this ribosomal RNA (482 nucleotides) under Blastocystis sp. Its description in RNAcentral is "SSU rRNA". It matches the Rfam family "Eukaryotic small subunit ribosomal RNA", at positions 460 to 953 of the family's 1831-position model. The record is from RNAcentral. Lineage: Eukaryota; Bigyra; Opalinata; Blastocystidae.
GGAGGUAGUGACAAUAAAUCACAAUGCGGAACAAUGUUUUGCAAUUGGAUUGAGAACAACGUACAAACCUUAUCGAUAAACAAUUGGAGGGCAAGUCUGGUGCCAGCAGCCGCGGUAAUUCCAGCUCCAAUAGCGUAUAUUAACGUUGUUGCAGUUAAAAAGCUCGUAGUUGAAAUGAAGGGUGGUUGUGUAAUGAAUACAUUCGUGUAUUUUGUUAUUCUACUACCCUCCUUCUAAAUUCGAUAUAUGAGUAUUAAUUUACUUGUAUAUGGUUUUAGACUUUUACUGUGAGAAAAUUAGAGUGUUCAAAGCAGGCAUUUGCUUGAAUAUAUUAGCAUGGAAUAAUCAUGUAUGAUUUUCAUGAUGUAUUUGAUUGGUUUGGUUCAUGAGAAUAAGAUUAAAAGGGACAGUUGGGGGUAUUCAUAUUCAAUAGUCAGAGGUGAAAUUCUCGGAUUUAUGGAAGAUGAACAAGUGCGAAAGCA